RNAcentral lists this long non-coding RNA (228 nucleotides) under Musa acuminata (dwarf banana). RNAcentral's name for it is "long non-coding RNA (MACU_LNC010544)". Lineage: Eukaryota; Viridiplantae; Streptophyta; Magnoliopsida; Zingiberales; Musaceae. The record is from RNAcentral.
AACAAAGUGUGGAGUCAAGCGCAAAGGAUUCAUUGGGAGUUCGAGAGUUCGACGGAAGUCCGAAGGUUCGUCGGGAAUGCUGCCGGAACUAGCCGAGAAUGAGUAGGGAACUUGCCGAAGAGUUUUUUGGAAGCUCACCGAAAGGUUCGUGGGAAGUUCGCGGAGCUCGCCGAGAGAGAUCGGAGCUUGCCGAAGAAGCUCGUUGGAACUCACCAAGAUCAAAUCGUG